UUUGUGCUUGGUGGGUCGCUACUAGUUGUGCGGUUUCGGGGAAUGUCUACCGUAAAGGUGCAUGAGUGGUGUUUGGUUUGUUACGGAUGGUUGGAUGUCUGACUUGUGCAGCAACUUCCAUGCGUGCAUACCUCUUCAUUUGUGCUGCAAGGCUUCUUUUGUCUUGAGCAUUUUUGUGGGUUUUCUGUGUUGCAUACCUAACCGAUGGCAUUGUGUGGUUUGAUGGAUGGUCAUUUUCGUCAUACGUCGCUCAUGCGAUGUGGGAUGAACCUUGAAGCGGUCUUUGUGAUCCACCUUGUUGGUGCCAUUGCAUCGAUGAUGUGGCCCAUGAAGCAUUGCUUGGUCUCUUGAGUAUGGAGCCUGACUUGGGCGUGGGUCUUUACUUGAUCCUACAUUACAUUUGCCCUUGUUAAGCGUUCUUGCUUCUCUGAAA
This 433-nucleotide unclassified non-coding RNA is filed under the name Arctium umbrosum. RNAcentral's name for it is "partial contains external transcribed spacer and 18S ribosomal RNA". RNAcentral also lists the same sequence under 1 other name. The record is from RNAcentral. Lineage: Eukaryota; Viridiplantae; Streptophyta; Magnoliopsida; Asterales; Asteraceae.